UAAGCGGAAGAGGAAGGGAGAGGUACUUCACGGCUGGCGCCAUCAGUAGCAAUAUAGGAGAACUAUUUUCCUAUCGAGACUGAAUAGAGCAUGAUCGAAAGCACAAUAAACAUAGACCAGUUUUUUGAUAUGAUACGAUGCACGGACCUAUAUUGGGAUCGCCUUAUAGAGUUGGUGGGUGCGCGUGAUCCAAUCAUCACAGAAUUUGGGAACCUCCUGCUUUUGCCCGGGGAGCUUCAAUGAGGAGACGCCCCAUGUUACGACAACUCGCUCGACGAGACACCUUUCCUUUCAUGGCGAAAAGAAUAGUCGAGAUAUCGCGCAUUGAAGGGCGUUGGCCCAUGUUCCUGUGACGCACUGAGACAGCAUUCAGGAAUCAGCCUCUUCGAUUUCAUAAAUUUACUUUCAUAUUACGGUAAUUUAACAAACAUUAUUCUGCACGUAUCAGCUAUAGAAAACGUAACAAUUCGUUCGUCAUCUGCAACUGAUAUUGAAGAAAGUUCUAUAAAUAAUAAACAACUUAUCAUGGAAAUAUUGAUGAAAACCGUUAUUGAUUGCAAUAACCAUAUCCAAUACUAUAAUAUAAAAAUUAAAUUGCACAGUAGAUCUUAAUGGUGUACAGAAUUUGUUGGAGCUUACAUUUCAAAGAGAAGAUAAUUGCAGAAUCAUAAAUAUCGAAAAAAAUACAUUAAUCCUAUUUUUUCGAGCAAUGGUAAAAAAGUGAAUGUACGUAAAUGAUUUUGAAUAAGGUAAUGAAAAAAAAAGUAA
RNAcentral lists this long non-coding RNA (768 nucleotides) under Cotesia glomerata. RNAcentral's name for it is "uncharacterized LOC123263189, transcript variant X1". Lineage: Eukaryota; Metazoa; Arthropoda; Insecta; Hymenoptera; Braconidae. The record is from RNAcentral.